Molecule: non-coding RNA, 225 nt
Filed under: Streptomyces mobaraensis
Lineage: Bacteria; Bacillati; Actinomycetota; Actinomycetes; Kitasatosporales; Streptomycetaceae
Source: RNAcentral
UUACAGUGACCCGGCCGUGGUGUUCGGGAAGACCGGUGCAGGACCCUCCCCAAGGAGGAUCCGAUUCCGGAGCGGCCCUCGCCACUGUGAUCGGGGAGUGACCGUCCCGUUCCGCGCGGCCCACCGGGCGCGUGGAGCCACUGGCCGCAGCCGGCUGCCGGGAAGGCGGGGGCGGACGCGAACGAACCCGUCAGCCAGGAGACCGGCCACGGCAUCUCAGUGAAC